AAGACACUAGUAAAACAUGACAUUACAUUGCCUUGUCAAGGCAAGAUUGCGGGUUAAACCCCCGCGUGCCUUA
RNAcentral lists this transfer RNA (73 nucleotides) under Argentina silus (greater argentine). Its description in RNAcentral is "tRNA-Asp". It matches the Rfam family "tRNA". From Rfam's summary of the family: Transfer RNA (tRNA) molecules are approximately 80 nucleotides in length. Their secondary structure includes four short double-helical elements and three loops (D, anti-codon, and T loops). Lineage: Eukaryota; Metazoa; Chordata; Actinopteri; Argentiniformes; Argentinidae. The record is from RNAcentral.